UUAGGUAACUUCAGCAGACUUCCUUGAAUUCGAUUAUACUGUUUUGCUUCAUGACUUUGUAUCACAGGAGAUCAUUCCAUGGCAGAUGCAGGUUCUAUGGAAUCCAAAAGAAGGCAUUAAAGUGGAAAGGAAUGCUCGCAAACCUAAAAGCUGUGGUCAUUAUUAGGAAACAAGAUAUCAACUUUGAUAGCAGAAAUUGCAGUUAUGAAAAGAAGCAGAUUAGUAUACUCUCUUUUUUUUCUGCAGUUUAUAAUACAGAUAAAGUCCACUUUGUUGUAAAAUGCUUGGGUACUGUGCAACAUUGCAAACCUUUCUGCUACAACAGAAGUCGGAGUAAAUAAAAUCUCUGGUCCUAUAUUA
Protopterus annectens (West African lungfish) is the source of this 360-nucleotide long non-coding RNA. RefSeq lists it as uncharacterized. The transcript has 2 exons. The record is from RefSeq and is a predicted model, not a curated record. Lineage: Eukaryota; Metazoa; Chordata; Ceratodontiformes; Protopteridae.